UGGGUGGUAAAUUCCAUCUAAGGCUAAAUAAUUGCAAGAGACCGAUAGCGAACAAGUACCGUGAGGGAAAGAUGAAAAGAACUUUGAAAAGAGAGUUAAACAGUACGUGAAAUUGUUGAAAGGGAAACGAUUGAAGCCAGUCAUGCCGGUGGGAAAUCAGCUUCCGGGGUAACCGGGGAGUGCACUUUCUCGCAGGGCAGGUCAGCGUCAGUUUCGCCAGUCGUAAAAAGUCCGUCGGAAUGUGACUCCUUUCGGAGUGUUAUAGCCAGCGGUCGAUGCGACGAGCGGGAUUGAGGAUUGCAGCGGGUGCCUUUCGGGGCUAAGUGCCUGGCCCUUGUUCGUGGUCGUCUUGGUAACAGCGUGCUGGUGCCGAGCCCGAUCCGCGGACACGGGGUUUAGCGUCACGGUAAACUCGUUAAGGAUGCUGACGUAAUGGCUUUAAACGACCCGUCUUGAAACACGGACCAAGGAGUCUAACAUACGUGCGAGUGUUUGGGCGGAAAACCCAAGCGCGCAAUGAAAGUGAACGUAGGUGGGAGUUCUCUCACGGGAACGCACCAUCGACC
This 566-nucleotide ribosomal RNA is filed under the name uncultured Glomeromycotina. RNAcentral describes it as "eukaryotic LSU rRNA". It matches the Rfam family "Eukaryotic large subunit ribosomal RNA", at positions 293 to 766 of the family's 3401-position model. Lineage: Eukaryota; Fungi; Glomeromycota. The record is from RNAcentral.